RNAcentral lists this ribosomal RNA (1502 nucleotides) under metagenome. RNAcentral describes it as "bacterial SSU rRNA". It matches the Rfam family "Bacterial small subunit ribosomal RNA". The record is from RNAcentral.
AUGCAAGUCGAGCGAUUCUAUUAUGGAUUUUGCAGCUUUUCGCAAGAAAAAAUGCAAAAACUGUUUCAGGAAAGCGGCAAACGGGUGAGUAACACGUGAGCAAUUUACCCUCAAGAUGGGGAUAGCUUAUCGAAAGGUAAGGUAAUACCAAACGUGAUCUUAGGAUCGCAUGAUCCUUAGAUUAAAGGCGGGGACCGCAAGGCCUGCCACUUGAGGAUGAGCUCACGUCCUAUCAGCUUGUUGGUGGGGUAAUGGCCUACCAAGGCAUUUGACGGGUAGCUGGUCUGAGAGGAUGGACAGCCACACUGGGACUGAGACACUGCCCAGACUCCUACGGGAGGCUGCAGUCGAGAAUAUUUAGCAAUGGACGAAAGUCUGACUAUGCGACGCCGCGUGAGGGAUGAAGGUUUUCGGAUCGUAAACCUCUUUCGAUGGGGGAGAAACCUCUUGAUCUAAUACAUCAAGAGCUGACAGUACCCAGAGAAGAAGCCACGGCCAACUCCGUGCCAGCAGCCGCGGUAAUACGGAGGUGGCGAGCGUUACUCGGAUUCAUUGGGUGUAAAGGGCAGGCAGGCGGUUCCGAAAGUCGAGUGUGAAAUCUUCCCGCUCAACGGGGAAACUGCAUUCGAUACUUCGGAACUUGAGGCUGGAAGAAGAGAACGGAAUUCCCGGUGUAAGGGUGAAAUCUGUAGAUAUCGGGAGGAACGCCAGUAGCGAAAGCGAUUCUCUAGGCCAGUCCUGACGCUGAGCUGCGAAAGCUAGGGGAGCAAACAGGAUUAGAUACCCUGGUAGUCCUAGCUGUAAACGAUGAGCACUAGGUGUUGGUUCGCAAGGGCCAGUGCCGCAGUUAACGCACUAAGUGCUCCACCUGGGGACUACGACCGCAAGGUUAAAACUCAAAGGAAUUGACGGGGGCCCGCACAAGCGGUGGAACAUGUGGUUCAAUUCGAUGCUACGCGAGGAACCUCACCAAGGCUUGACAUGUAGGAAGUAGUGAACCGAAAGGGGAACCACCCGUUAAGUCGGGAGCCUACACAGGUGCUGCAUGGCUGUCGUCAGCUCGUGUCGUGAGAUGUUGGGUUAAGUCCCGCAACGAGCGCAACCACUAUCUUUAGUUGCCACCCGAGUAUUCAGUUUUCUGAAUACAAGGAGCACUCUAAAGAGACUGCCUGGGAUAACCAGGAGGAAGGUGGAGAUGGCGUCAAGUCAGUAUGGCCUUUAUGCCUUGGGCUACACACGUGUUACAAUGGCUGGUACAAAGGGUUGCCAAAUCGCGAGAUGGAGCUAAUCCCAAAAAACCAGCCCUAGUUCGGAUUGGAGUCUGCAAUUCGACUCCAUGAAGCUGGAAUCGCUAGUAAUGGCGCAUCAGCUACGGCGCCGUGAAUACGUUCCCGGGCCUUGUACACACCGCCCGUCAAGCGAUGGGAGCCGGUGGUACCCGAAGUCCUGUUUAGGCAGGCCGAAGGUAAAAUCGGUGACUGGCGCUAAGUCGUAACAAGGUA